CUGCCAGUAGUCAUAUGCUUGUCUCAAAGAUUAAGCCAUGCAUGUCUAAGUACAAGCCUCACUAAGGUGAAACCGCGAAUGGCUCAUUAAAUCACACCUAAUCUACUGGAUAGUUAACAGUUACUUGGAUAACUGCGGUAAUUCUGGAGCUAAUACAUGCACAAAGCCUCGAACUUACGUGAGAGGCGCUUUUAUUAGAUCAAAACCAAACGUUUUCGAACGUUUUCUUGGUGACUCUGAAUAACUUUGGGCUGAUCGCAUAGCCUUGCGCUGGCGACAUAUCCUUCGAAGGUGUGCCCUAUCAACUGUCGACUGUGGCAUAGACGCCCACAGUGGUUUUGACGGGUAACGGGGAAUCAGGGUUCGAUUCCGGAGAGGGAGCCUUAAAAACGGCUACCACAUCUAAGGAAGGCAGCAGGCACGCAAAUUACCCAAUGACCGAAGGUCGAGGUAGUGACGAAAAAUAACGAUACGGGACUCAUCCGAGGCCCCGUAAUCGGAAUGAGUACACUUUAAAACCGUCCCCGAGGAUCUAUUGGAGGGCAAGUCUGGUGCCAGCAGCCGCGGUAAUUCCAGCUCCAAUAGCGUAUAUUAAAGUUGUUGUGGUUAAAAAGCUCGUAGUUGGAUCUCCACAGUCUGAGGUUGGUGUACUUGCUAGUACUACUGCCCUAUAGACUGUAGUUUUGCCAGAGGUGCUAGGGUGCUCUUAAUCGAGUGUCCUAUUAUGCUGGCAGGUUUACUUUGAAAAAAUUAGAGUGCUCAAAGCAGGCUAUUACGCCUGAAUAUUCGUGCAUGGAAUAAUAGAAUAGGAAGUCGUUUCUAUUUUGUUGGUUUUUAAGUUUCGACUUAAUGAUUAAUAGGGACAAACGGGGGCAUUUGUAUUCAAACGACAGAGGUGAAAUUCUUGGACCGUUUGAAGACAAACUACUGCGAAAGCAUUUGCCAAGAGUGUUUUCAUUAAUCAAGAACGAAAGUUAGAGGUUCGAAGGCGAUUAGAUACCGCCCUAGUUCUAACCAUAAACGAUGCCAGCUAGCGAUCUGCCGACGUUUU
This 1051-nucleotide ribosomal RNA is filed under the name Pareucalanus attenuatus. RNAcentral's name for it is "SSU rRNA". It matches the Rfam family "Eukaryotic small subunit ribosomal RNA", at positions 14 to 1066 of the family's 1831-position model. Lineage: Eukaryota; Metazoa; Arthropoda; Copepoda; Calanoida; Eucalanidae. The record is from RNAcentral.